GAUGAACGCUGGCGGCGUGCCUAAUACAUGCAAGUCGAGCGAACGGACGAGAAGCUUGCUUUUCUGAUGUUAGCGGCGGACGGGUGAGUAACACGUGGAUAACCUACCUAUAAGACUGGGAUAACUUCGGGAAACCGGAGCUAAUACCGGAUAAUAUUUUGAACCGCAUGGUUCAAAAGUGAAAGACGGUCUUGCUGUCACUUAUAGAUGGAUCCGCGCUGCAUUAGCUAGUUGGUAAGGUAACGGCUUACCAAGGCAACGAUGCAUAGCCGACCUGAGAGGGUGAUCGGCCACACUGGAACUGAGACACGGUCCAGACUCCCACGGGAGGCAGCAGUAGGGAAUCUUCCGCAAUGGGCGAAAGCCUGACGGAGCAACGCCGCGUGAGUGAUGAAGGUCUUCGGAUCGUAAAACUCUGUUAUUAGGGAAGAACAUAUGUGUAAGUAACUGUGCACAUCUUGACGGUACCUAAUCAGAAAGCCACGGCUAACUACGUG
This 497-nucleotide ribosomal RNA is filed under the name uncultured bacterium. Its description in RNAcentral is "partial 16S ribosomal RNA". It matches the Rfam family "Bacterial small subunit ribosomal RNA", at positions 28 to 507 of the family's 1533-position model. The record is from RNAcentral.